UACGUAGGGGGCAAGCGUUGUCCGGAUUUACUGGGCGUAAAGAGCGCGCAGGCGGUCAGAUAAGUCGAAUGUGAAAGCCCCCGGCUCAACUGGGGAGGGGCAUUCGAUACUGUUCGACUCGAAGGCAGGAGAGGGAAGUGGAAUUCCCGGUGUAGUGGUGAAAUGCGUAGAUAUCGGGAGGAACACCAGUGGCGAAGGCGACUUCCUGGCCUGUUCUUGACGCUGAGGCGCGAAAGCUAGGGGAGCAAACGGG
RNAcentral lists this ribosomal RNA (253 nucleotides) under uncultured bacterium. RNAcentral's name for it is "partial 16S ribosomal RNA". It matches the Rfam family "Bacterial small subunit ribosomal RNA", at positions 524 to 776 of the family's 1533-position model. The record is from RNAcentral.